Molecule: long non-coding RNA, 2456 nt
Filed under: Daucus carota (carrot)
Lineage: Eukaryota; Viridiplantae; Streptophyta; Magnoliopsida; Apiales; Apiaceae
Description: long non-coding RNA (DCAR_LNC003702)
Source: RNAcentral
GGGUAACUAUGUAAAAUUAUUCAAAUAAACAUCUCAAUAAAUGUAAAAAUUGGUUUGUGUGCAUCUCUCUAAAAAAGCAGUUAAAAUGGGACAGAGGGAGUAGCUGCUUGGAAGAUAAAAAUUUAUGUGAUGCCAGUUGUAUAAAUUAGAGUGGCAAUUAUGUAUCUGAACGAAGUGAUGCGAAGCUUAAUAGCUUGUUUCAUGUUACUUUUUGUAAGGAAAAUAAAAGAUAAACUGAAUUUAUUAUAAAAACUUAUAGUUGUGUUUCCCAUGUUUUUUUUGGAAAGAAAGAAGAGACGGAGGAGUAGAGUUGAUUCUUUCAGUUUUUCUCAUUAACCAAUUUUCUUGGAAGAUCUAAUGGGGAAUGAGAGAACAACAUUAUAAAAUUCUUAAAAAUCCACAAAUAUUUUUUUCCCAUCUAUCCUUGUCAAAUUGUUAUUCCUCAUCCCACUUUACUCUUUUCUCAUAAAACCUCUCAAACAAGGUUGUACCAUAUUCCUUUUUUCCUGCACCCAUGUUUUUUUUCUCUUUAUUCUAAAUUUGGAUCUGUAAGGCUAUCAAUGGCUUAGCCUAGCAGAUUCCCCUGUCCUAUUGAUAAUUGUUGUUUGAAGGUUUGGAUCCCAGCGGGUGCAGGGUGCUUAUGUAAUUAAAUUUUGUUAUUGACCUUCUGAAAAAAAAAGAUAAAGGAAUGAUUCCAAAUGCUCUCCUGGCACUAAGGUUUUUCAAGGUUUUUCCUCCCGGGGGUUCCCAAAUCAAAUGAGGGUUAUGAUGUUGAUUCCAACUAUCGUAGAUAUGCAAUGUAUAUAUACACAUUGCAGCCAUAGGAAUCAAGAGGGAAUUGGAUAAUAUAAAAUCUGUAUUAUGAGGAAGUAGAUAAUCUAGAAACUAUUUGCUGUCAAGGUCGGUUAAGGUGGUUAGCUCCCUAGUGACGGAGUUAGGACUAAAGUUUGUAGGGGCACAACAUAUAAAUAGUAAGAGAACUAAUAAAAGAUGUGUAAUAUUACAGAAGAAAAGAGAAAUAACUUACAAAUUAAAUUUGCUCCCUUGGAGUGUUCAUUUUCUGAAAUCGGUCUAUUACAUCUUCAUCUGUUACUCUAACAAGGGCUUCCUAUUCUAUAGCUAAAAUAAGACAAUCACUUGGAAAGGUAUCACCAAUAAUGAUUGCGCAAAUUUGACUUCACAAGUUUCAUUGCGGAAAAACAUCUCCCAACUGCCGCGGUUGCAACUGACAAAACCAAUGAUAUAUUCACUAGUCGAUACAUCAAAGAAUAACAUUGAUUUUUUUUCGUUUCAACCAAUACUCUAGCAAGAUCACUAAUACUAUUCAAGCUGGCAAAUCUUCCCUUUGCUUUCACUCGAAGGGAGCAAAUUUAACUUGUAAGUUAUUUCUCUUCUUUUCUAUAAUAUUACACAUCUUUUAUUAGUUUUCUACUAUAUGUUGUGUCCCACUAAACUUUAGUCAUAGAUUCGUCACUGCGGACAUACCAAUUUUUCACUGCUUACACAAAGUAGAUCCUAUAUCUCCAUCUCACACAACACGCUACGUGUGAGAUUAAUUAUAUUCAAAUAUUUAUCCUUGUUCGGCUAGAUUAUCCUGUUCCUCUUUAAAGCUAUGGUGAAGAGAUGAUGUUGCGUUAUGUCUUCUUCAACUUUGAGUCGAGUAAAAUACUCGCUGGAUGUAUCAUAAACUCUAUUUAUGCUUUUACUCGGUGGGUGUUCUUUGCAAGCCAUAUCAAAUACUGUAAAGUAGGCUGUGUUUUGACUGUUUAUUUUAAGUUUGUAAUAUCAACUUGGUCUCCAGAAUUAUGUGUUGAAAGCUAUAUGAAGAAUUUUUCAGGCAGACUUUUAUAUUUGUCGCCCUUAUUAACUUAAAUUGCACAUUCCUAUAAUGAGACAGUGAAUGGUAUCCCGUUGUAGCAGAUGUGUACCUGUGUGAUAUGAUAACAUAGUUAGUCAGACAGCGAGCUUAAUGAACAUAUACUCAAUUAUUUUACUCUCGAUACUUGAUAGAAUCAGGGGUGGUGUUAGUCGAAUGGCAAGCUUAAUGAACAGAUGAGCAACUAUUAUUACUGUGGAUACUUCAUUCAACGAGGACAUGGGUAUAUAUGUGAAAAAUAUAUACGAGAGGCUGAUCCGGUUUUAACAAAUGUCCAAAAUGAUCACAAUUGUACUGAUUUUGCAUGUGUACAUAUCGAGAAUUUAGAUAAUCUUGAAGCUGAUUUCGUACACACAAUUCAUUCAUAUGCCCAACACUUAAGCAGAGUAUCAGCUUUAAUGUUAUAUAAUUCCUGUACUAGAUUGAGUAAAGGGUUCUUUUCCGACAAUUUGCAGCAUGCAUGUUCGAGUACUCUUUACACAUCUUAUAGCUCAAAACUAAGGUAGGGAUUGAUCUAUUAAAUGAUCCAUUUUAUUAUAUUUUUCAUCUUAUGGAUAAUGUCAAGGUGGACGCAUCACGC